RNAcentral lists this ribosomal RNA (492 nucleotides) under uncultured bacterium. RNAcentral describes it as "partial 16S ribosomal RNA". It matches the Rfam family "Bacterial small subunit ribosomal RNA", at positions 29 to 507 of the family's 1533-position model. The record is from RNAcentral.
AGUGAACGCUGGCGGUAGGCCUAACACAUGCAAGUCGAACGGCAGCACAGUAAGAGCUUGCUCUUACGGGUGGCGAGUGGCGGACGGGUGAGGAAUACAUCGGAAUCUACUUUUUCGUGGGGGGUAACGUAGGGAAACUUACGCUAAUACCGCAUACGACCUACGGGUGAAAGCAGGGGAUCUUCGGACCUUGCGCGAUUGAAUGAGCCGAUGUCGGAUUAGCUAGUUGGCGGGGUAAAGGCCCACCAAGGCGACGAUCCGUAGCUGGUCUGAGAGGAUGAUCAGCCACACUGGAACUGAGACACGGUCCAGACUCCUACGGGAGGCAGCAGUGGGGAAUAUUGGACAAUGGGCGCAAGCCUGAUCCAGCCAUACCGCGUGGGAGAAGAAGGCCUUCGGGUUGUAAAGCCCUUUUGUUGGGAAAGAAAAGCAGCAGGUUAAUACCCCGCUGUUCUGACGGUACCCAAAGAAUAAGCACCGGCUAACUUCGUG